This 369-nucleotide ribosomal RNA is filed under the name uncultured bacterium. RNAcentral describes it as "bacterial SSU rRNA". It matches the Rfam family "Bacterial small subunit ribosomal RNA", at positions 525 to 896 of the family's 1533-position model. The record is from RNAcentral.
ACGGAGGGUGCAAGCGUUAUCCGGAAUCACUGGGUUUAAAGGGUGCGUAGGCGGUUUGAUAAGUCAGAGGUGAAAGCUAGCAGCUUAACUGUUAAAUUGCCUUUGAUACUGUCAGACUUGAAUCAAGUUGAGGUAGGCGGAAUGUGACAUGUAGCGGUGAAAUGCAUAGAUAUGUCAUAGAACACCAAUUGCGUAGGCAGCUUGCUGGGCUUGAAUUGACGCUGAGGCACGAAAGCGUGGGGAUCAAACAGGAUUAGAUACCCUGGUAGUCCACGCCCUAAACGAUGUUAACUCGAUAUUUAUUCUUCGGAGUGAGUGUCCAAGCGAAAGCGUUAAGUUAACCACCUGGGGAGUACGUUCGCAAGAAUG